Molecule: transfer RNA, 65 nt
Filed under: Metaphire riukiuensis
Lineage: Eukaryota; Metazoa; Annelida; Clitellata; Crassiclitellata; Megascolecidae
Description: tRNA-Tyr
Source: RNAcentral
UACGAGAUGGUUGAGAAUAAACAAUAAACUGUAAAUUUAUAUACGGGUUAAUGACCCUCUUGUAU